Molecule: ribosomal RNA, 1212 nt
Filed under: metagenome
Description: bacterial LSU rRNA
Rfam family: Bacterial large subunit ribosomal RNA
Source: RNAcentral
ACGUCAGACUUCCAAGAAAAGCUCGCAAUGUCAUAAAUAAAAAUGCCUGUACCAUAACCGACACAGGUGGGUAGGUAGAGUAUACUAAGGGGCGCGAGAUAACUCUCUCUAAGGAACUCGGCAAAAUGACUCCGUAACUUCGGGAGAAGGAGUGCCUUAUUUAUAAGGUUGCAAUAACAAGAUCCAAGCAACUGUUUAUCAAAAACACAGGUCUCCGCUAAGUCGUAAGACGAUGUAUGGGGGCUGACGCCUGCCCAGUGCCAGAAGGUUAAAGAAGUUGGUUAGUGUAUGCGAAGCUGAUGACUGAAGCCCUGGUGAACGGCGGCCGUAACAAUAACGGUCCUAAGGUAGCGAAAUUCCUUGUCGGGUAAGUUCCGACCCGCACGAAAGGCGUAAUGAUUUGGAUACUGUCUCGGAGAGAGGCUCGGUGAAAUAGACUUGUCUGUGAAGAUGCGGACUACCUGCACCAGGACAGAAAGACCCUAUGAAGCUUUACUGUAACUUGAAAUUGGAAUUGGACUUUGCUUGCGCAGUAUAGGUGGGAAGCGUUGAAGAUAUUCUUGCGGGAGUAUUGGAGCUAUCAGUGAGAUACCACUCUUGUAAUGUUAGAUUUCUAACUUUGAACCAUAAUCUGGUCAAAGAACAGUCUCAGGUGGGCAGUUUGACUGGGGCGGUCGCCUCCCAAAUGGUAACGGAGGCGUACAAAGGUUUCCUCUGAACGGAUAGAAAUCGUAUCUAGAGUGUAAAGGCAUAAGGAAGCUUGACUGUGAGACCUACAAGUCGAGCAGGGACGAAAGUCGGUCUUAGUGAUCUGACGGUACUGAGUGGAAAGGCCGUCACUCAACGGAUAAAAGUUACUCUAAGGAUAACAGGCUGAUCUCCCCCAAGAGUUCACAUCGACGGGGAGGUUUGGCACCUCGAUGUCGGCUCAUCGCAUCCUGGGGCGGUAGUACGUCCCAAGGGUUGGGCUGUUCGCCCAUGAAAGCGGUACGCGAGCUGGGUUCAGAACGUCGUGAGACAGUUCGGUCCAUAUCCGGUGUAGGCGUUAGAAUAUUGAGAGGAGCCUUCUUUAGUACGAGAGGACCGAGAAGGACACACCGCUGGUGUACCAGUUAUCGUGCCAACGGUAAACGCUGGGUAGCUAUGUGUGGAGUGGAUAACCGCUGAAAGCAUCUAAGUGGGAAGCCCACCUCAAGAUGAGUAUUCUCAUCA